UACAGAGGGUGCAAGCGUUGUUCGGAAUUAUUGGGCGUAAAGCGCGUGUAGGCGGCUUGUUAAGUCGGGUGUGAAAGCCCUCGGCUCAACCGAGGAAGUGCGCCCGAAACUGCAGAGCUUGAGUACCGGAGAGGAUGGCGGAAUUCCCCAAGUAGAGGUGAAAUUCGUAGAUAUGGGGAGGAACACCGGUGGCGAAGGCGGCCAUCUGGACGGAUACUGACGCUGAGACGCGAAAGCGUGGGGAGCAAACAGG
Molecule: ribosomal RNA, 253 nt
Filed under: uncultured bacterium
Lineage: Bacteria
Description: partial 16S ribosomal RNA
Rfam family: Bacterial small subunit ribosomal RNA
Source: RNAcentral